UUUUUUUUUGAAAAACAAAAAAUGUAGAGUACUCAAAUUAACCCAAUCAAAUGUUCUAGCUUAUAACAUCUACUCACCAUUUUAAGUUGGUAGCCAUGACAAAUUCUGUAAAAAUUUUCAUCAGUUCCCCUCAUGCCUGCCACUGUGUUACCAAAAAUAACAACCUAAUUCCUCGCAUGACACUGAGCUUCUAAGGUUUUAGCCAAAAAAGCCAUCAAUUUCAAUGUCUACAAUAUCUAUCAAUUGUCCUUCUCUUUGAAGGAGUCAAGAAGUAUACUUUUUUUUUUUU
Molecule: unclassified non-coding RNA, 289 nt
Filed under: Hevea brasiliensis (rubber tree)
Lineage: Eukaryota; Viridiplantae; Streptophyta; Magnoliopsida; Malpighiales; Euphorbiaceae
Source: RNAcentral